Calypte anna (Anna's hummingbird) is the source of this 257-nucleotide long non-coding RNA. RefSeq lists it as uncharacterized. NCBI's taxonomy places the organism in Eukaryota, Metazoa, Chordata, Aves, Apodiformes, Trochilidae. The transcript has 4 exons. The record is from RefSeq and is a predicted model, not a curated record.
AGCCCCGCAGGGACCAGCAAAUGCCCUCUGGUUGUAGGUGCUGCAGGAGUUACUUCCCAAAAAAUAAACCUUUGGACAAUCUGUGGCAAAGUCCCCAGCUGUGCUUGCAGUGAGCAUUGUGUCUGGAAGGAGCAGGAACGAGUUCUCAGGAAUGGUCCAGAGCAACUUUCCCAAACACAGUAGCUACCUCCAGCCAACCUCACAUGCCACCUACCAGCACCAACAAAUACAAGCUCCGUACUUUUUAAGCACAGCCU